GCAUGGCUGAAUACUGUGUUCUCUUUAUCAGUUGUUUACAUAGCCAGACAUCAGGCAAAAAAAAAAAAAAAAAAAAAGAAAAAAGCAUUCUUCCCUUUAAAGUGGUUACGACGGCAUGCCAAGUCUUUUCAUAGCAUGUCAUUAUUAAAGGGAAAUACAAAU
Ailuropoda melanoleuca (giant panda) is the source of this 162-nucleotide small nucleolar RNA. The record is from Ensembl. Lineage: Eukaryota; Metazoa; Chordata; Mammalia; Carnivora; Ursidae.